RNAcentral lists this ribosomal RNA (512 nucleotides) under uncultured bacterium. Its description in RNAcentral is "bacterial SSU rRNA". It matches the Rfam family "Bacterial small subunit ribosomal RNA", at positions 33 to 518 of the family's 1533-position model. The record is from RNAcentral.
ACGCUGGCGGCGUGCCAAUACAUGCAAGUCGAACGGUCUUUCUAUGGAAGCUUGCUUCCACUGAGAAGAUAGUGGGCGAACGGGUGAGUAACACGUGGGUAACCUGCCCAUAAGAGGGGGAUAACAUCCGGAAACGGGUGCUAAUACCGCAUAGUUUUCUUGAUCGCAUGAUCGGGAAAGGAAAGACGGCCUUUGUGCUGUCGCUUAUGGAUGGACCCGCGGCGUAUUAGUUAGUUGGUGAGGUAACGGCUCACCAAGACGAUGAUACGUAGCCGACCUGAGAGGGUGAUCGGCCACAUUGGGACUGAGACACGGCCCAAACUCCUACGGGAGGCAGCAGUAGGGAAUCUUCCGCAAUGGACGAAAGUCUGACGGAGCAACGCCGCGUGAGUGAAGAAGGUUUUCGGAAUCGUAAAACUCUGUUGUCAGAGGAGAACAAGUUGGAGAGUAACUGCUCCAGCCUUGACGGUAUCUGACCAGAAAGCCACGGCUAACUACGUGCCAGCAGCAGC